This 497-nucleotide ribosomal RNA is filed under the name uncultured bacterium. RNAcentral's name for it is "partial 16S ribosomal RNA". It matches the Rfam family "Bacterial small subunit ribosomal RNA", at positions 28 to 507 of the family's 1533-position model. The record is from RNAcentral.
GAUGAACGCUGGCGGCGUGCCUAAUACAUGCAAGUCGAGCGAACAGACGAGGAGCUUGCUCCUCUGACGUUAGCGGCGGACGGGUGAGUAACACGUGGAUAACCUACCUAUAAGACUGGGAUCACUUCGGGAAACCGGAGCUAAUACCGGAUACUAUAUUGAACCCCAUGGUUCAAUAGUGAAAGACGGUUUUGCUGUCACUUAUAGAUGGAUCCGCGCCGCAUUAGCUAGUUGGGAAGGUAACGGCUUACCAAGGCAACGAUGCGUAGCCGACCUGAGAGGGUGAUCGGCCACACUGGAACGGAGACACGGUCCAGACUCCUAAGGGAGGCAGCAGUAGGGAAUGUUCCGCAAUGGGCGAAAGCCUGACGGAGCAACGACGCGUGAGUGAUGAAGGUCUUCGGAUCGUAAAACUCUGUUAUUAGGGAAGAACAAAUGUGUAAGUAACUAUGCACGUCUUGACGGUACCUAAUCAGAAAGCCACGGCUAACUACGUG